RNAcentral lists this ribosomal RNA (265 nucleotides) under uncultured archaeon. RNAcentral describes it as "partial 16S ribosomal RNA". It matches the Rfam family "Archaeal small subunit ribosomal RNA", at positions 717 to 982 of the family's 1478-position model. The record is from RNAcentral.
AGACGUCUACAUUAGAUACCCGGGUAGUCCCAGCCGUAAACUAUGCGCGUUAGGUGUAUCGGUGACCACGAGUUACCGAGGUGCCGAAGGGAAACCGUGAAACGUGCCGCCUGGGAAGUACGGUCGCAAGGCUGAAACUUAAAGGAAUUGGCGGGGGAGCACCACAACAGGCGGAGCCUGCGGUUUAAUUGGACUCAACGCCGGGAAGCUCACCGGAUAGGACAGCGGAAUGAUUGCCGGGCUGAAGACUCUGCAUGACUAGCUG